This 255-nucleotide ribosomal RNA is filed under the name uncultured bacterium. Its description in RNAcentral is "partial 16S ribosomal RNA". It matches the Rfam family "Bacterial small subunit ribosomal RNA", at positions 524 to 776 of the family's 1533-position model. The record is from RNAcentral.
UACGGAGGAUCCAAGCGUUUAUCCGGAAUCAUUGGGUUUAAAGGGUCCGUAGGCGGUUUGGUAAGUCAGUGGUGAAAGCCCAUCGCUCAACGGUGGAACGGCCAUUGAUACUGCCAGACUUGAAUUAUUAGGAAGUAACUAGAAUAUGUAGUGUAGCGGUGAAAUGCUUAGAGAUUACAUGGAAUACCAAUUGCGAAGGCAGGUUACUACUAAUGGAUUGACGCUGAUGGACGAAAAGCGUGGGUAGCGAACAGG